RNAcentral lists this long non-coding RNA (863 nucleotides) under Taeniopygia guttata (zebra finch). RNAcentral describes it as "lncRNA (ENSTGUG00000027454.1)". Lineage: Eukaryota; Metazoa; Chordata; Aves; Passeriformes; Estrildidae. The record is from RNAcentral.
AUGAUUCCAUUUUCAUUAAGACUGGUGGCAAUAGGGCAGGCCUUAACCCACAGAAGUGCUUCAGAAGGCAGCAGUUUAUAUCCUCCCAGGAUGUCAGAAGAACCUUCUAGAAACCCCAAAUGUGACCAGAAUCCAACACUAUUCUCUCAAGAUGUGCCUGUCAAAUGGAAGGUGGCUUUGUCAACAGGUUUUGAAGUAAAUGUUGAUUUAAAAACCUCAGACUUCUUGCCAGAUGGCAGUGGAGUAUCUUUCACAAGCAGCAGAGCAGAAGAGCAUCCAGGAUAUCCACGGCAAAUUGGGAAGGCAUUCUGUGCGUGUGUGUGACCCUCCAGAGCUGCAGAGGAAGACAGCACUGUAGGGCUUUGCCCCAGAGCACAACUGGUAGCAGCUUUAACAACGUUAUUCUACAGCCUCUGCCUGCAGUGCUGCUCUCUUCUUUUAGCAGUUCGCAAUAAAAUGCUUAACUUUUUGGAAAAAAAAUUGGCUCAGUGCAGAGGCUUUUAGAAAUUCCACCAUAAACAUUUGUUCCGAACAGCUUUGUCAUUGUCAUUUGAAAAGCUCAGUAGCAGGUUAUGGUAGUGAUUCUUUCCCCAGUGCUGCACUCACGAGGAAGUGGUUUUAGGUUGUUCAGGUUUUUCUGUUCUGGAUUUAUUGGGUUUGCAUGGCCAAGCUUUGGCAGGGUGGGAGCUCCAGGGGUGGCUUCUGUGGGCAGCUGCUGGAAGCUUCCUCUGUGUCCAGCAGGGCCAAUCUGGCAGCUCCAGAGAAGGACGUGCUGCUGGCCAGGCUGGUCAGUCAGAAAUGGUGGCAGCACCUCUGGGAGAGCAGAUUUGGGAAGAGAGAAAAAGGAAACUGCACAGCUGUGG